Molecule: long non-coding RNA, 1980 nt
Organism: Helianthus annuus (common sunflower)
Lineage: Eukaryota; Viridiplantae; Streptophyta; Magnoliopsida; Asterales; Asteraceae
Exons: 6
Source: RefSeq, a predicted model, not a curated record
CAGUACCCCCGUCCCUUUUUUUUUUUCCUUUAUCAUCUCUCUUCUCAUUUAUCUUUUCAAAUGGCUAGGGUUUCUUCUCUCUGGAUCUUCAGUGCGAUUCAACAAAAACUCAGUGUUUUCUUUGUAGAUCCAACAUAAAUUUCUUCCUCUCUCAAUCUCAAACGUCUGACAAGGUAUCUUCAUUAGGCAUCUUCAUCAUCAACACCGUUUCUACACAGGGUUUUUAGGGCUUGCAGAAGUUAUCAUCUGGUGAUGAAAAAGGCGAUGACUUGAUACGCGUCUUGAGGGAACUUACCUCCGUGCAAAGGAAAAUUGCGGAUUUGCAAGUUGAACGUCGACCGAAUUAUAGCCCGUCUUCAACAACCAUAUUCAUUAGAUUGUAUUCCUGUGGAAGCAGAAAUCCAGAAACAAUUCUCGGAAUUAUAAUGAAGGCUGCCAAUGAUUAUGGUCUUCUAACAUCAUCUGUUGCAGAUUUUCAGUGGACUCAAAACUUUAAAGAGCCACCCUCUGUCUGGGGGGGUAUGUCCAUAACAGCUGAUUGUAUUUUUUUUAUAAAUGUAUAGAUGUUCAAAUUAUGUAUUAUAUCCAUCUGGUCAAUUAGUUAAAAUUAAAUCAUUGAAAAAGAAAGAGAGAUUGAAUGAGAAGUUCUUAGAUGAUAUAUGCGGAGAAUCACCAGCUGGAGUACGGAAAUAUGUAAAUCACGUGCAUCUAUAUUCACCAACACAUAUAUAGGUUAUUCGCUCUGACGGUUCAAAAUGAUAAUUUUUGGUUGCUUCAGGUUGAUAAAGACUGCAUAUUGGUAGUAUACUUAGGUGGAAUGGGUGCAGGAAGAGGUAGUACGAUGUUGCUAUAACUUGGGGCAAGAUAGAAGAACAUGAUCUCGGAAUCCGCGGACGAAUAAAGAAUAUGGUUGAACAUUCGGUUUAUUCUUUAAGGGUUCCCAGAUGACAAAAUAACGAUAUUAUUCUUAUUGUUUAUAUCUCUUUUUAUUUGUGCAGUCUAUCUAACUUGAAAAUGGGAAACAACUUUGUUCCAUUAGUCGACAGUUUGAGCUCGUGGGCCAUCACGAGUUCAAUCCAAAAGGGUAACAAGUUUCUCAAGAAAAAAGUACUUGUAGAAAUGUUGGUAUGCAUAAAGCACUUAAGAAUUUUUUUUGAUAGAGGUGACACUAUGCGAAGAGCUUGCUAAUACAGUGGAUAAAAGCGUUUUCAUCCUGCCGCUAUCUAUAUCUUGCUAAUACAGUGGAUAAAAGUUUUUUUUUUUUUUUUGAUUCUUUACAUUUCAUUGUCUUCUAUAGUUUUUGACUUAAGUUUAUUUUGAUCAUUACUUCAUUCAUUGUCUUCUAUAGUUUUUGACUUGAGUUUAUUUUGAUCAUUACUUCAAUUAUAGUUUUUGACUAAUAAACAAUCAGAUUACGAACCUCAACUGCAUGAAACAAGCAAAAAUUGCUUUGCUCAUCUUUGUUUGUGGUAUAAUUGUUCAUAUUGGAGUUUGAUUAUCGAAGCAAAUGUUUAUCUUUUUUUAUAUGUUUAUUAUCAUGGUUAUUUUCACAUACUCGGGUCAGGGACGAGACUUACAAUGCAUUUGAAUUCAGGAAGAACCAACAAUGAGCUAUAGAUGUAGAUAAAGUUCGAAAAGUUGUUGGUUUGUUGGACAAGACAGAUACUAAGCUACCAAAAGGCGGAGAGGCAUGUUCGGUUAAAUAGAUUAAAUUUUAUCGUUUAAGUUUCAUAUAUUGUCUCAUGUUAUAUGAUUAUGUUUUUAAAAUAGUGUUUUAAUCUGAGAAAAAGUGAAACCACUGUUUUGGGUUAAAACAGUGUUUUGAAACCACUUUUAGGUUAAAACAGUUUUUGAAACCACUGUUGGGUUAAAACAGUGUUUUGAAACCACUUUUGGGUUAACAGUGUUUCAAACCAUUGUUGGUUUAAAACAGUGUUUCAAACCAUUGUUGGUUUAAAACAGUGUUUGAAACCACUGUUU